Long non-coding RNA from Cavia porcellus (domestic guinea pig), 371 nucleotides. RefSeq lists it as uncharacterized. Lineage: Eukaryota; Metazoa; Chordata; Mammalia; Rodentia; Caviidae. The transcript has 2 exons. The record is from RefSeq and is a predicted model, not a curated record.
AUUACACUGCUGCUUCACACUCAGCUCCCAACCAACACUUUGCAGCAGGGCACGGACCUGCCCGGCGCCAAGAGGCUCUGGGCUCUAGCCUAGCGCACAGCCUCAGAGGUGUGCGCUCACGGGCCCUCCUCCUGACAAUCCAGGAAGCUAAGGAUGGCUGACAGGCGAACACGGUUUUGGUAUAAAUAUCACAUUGCAAAGACACAGUGCUUCCAGCUCUCCACCUGGAUCAUCAUCAAACUUUCUAUCAUCAUGGUAUUUUGUUGACAAACCAUUUGAAAUCCACAAAGUUUUACAUGCAUCUCUAUAUUUGUCUUUCUCUAAUUGUUUCCCAAACUAAAAUAUAAAUUUCCUGAUGAUAAGAACCUGGA